AAUGUCUUCACGAGGUGAAAAUAAAAGUCAUACAGAGGAAGGUACUUGGAAGUGCAAGUGCCCAUUUGCGCACAUGCCCUUAUAUUUAUAAAAAGGUAUUAAUCCCAUAUGCACCGGUAGUCAUUUCGAGUCUUUGGUGGGACACAUCAUCGCAGCUCAGCCCCAAGGAACUGUAGGCUCACGUUAUUACCAGCAAGUGAAAAGUAGGAGGAUGGACUUGCAAAGACCAUCUCCAUCAACUUCACUGAAUUCCCCGAUAGACUUUUACAUGCACAUCUAACCUCGAGCAAAGAUACAGUGAGGCAGUGAAUUAAAAAGUAGCCAAGUAUGUGCCCAGAAUAGCAAGUGCAAGUGGGCAUCCAGCCGUCCGUGUGCUGCAGCAUAAGGAAGGGUGGCUGGCAAUUAGCAGUUCAGAGAGACACGGGGAAAUCGCAGGUCACCUCCUGGCUCUGCCACAAAUUUCCUUUGUGCCCUUGCCCAAUUCACUUCAUCUCCUUGUUCUUUGUGCUGAAGCUAAGGCAAAGAGGCAAUAGCACCUCCCCACCGGUGUUGUACCUUGGCAUUGUGAGGAGGCAGGGCGCAACUCUGCCUGUGUCUGUACACGCCUGAGUGAAGAGGAGGCCAGAUGAGAGCUGCCCAGGUGUGCCAGUGGUCUGCAAAGUAAUUACAUCAAAUAUCUGGAUCAACAAUGAAACUUCACAAUGUUUGUCCAUUUGGGGACAGGUUUUUGUGUCUGUGUUUGUGCACUGGAGGGGAAGAAGGUCUGCUGUCCUCCUGCAUCUGACGGUUGGCUUUAAGGUUUAGGACACUGAAUGGCUCAGCAGAGAGACCUCAUCCUCCAGCACAGCACCAGUGCCUCGGAGAUGAUGAUGUAGUCCCUAUGUGGGCCGCAGAAAGCACUUCGAGCCGUGCUGGAGUCGUGCUGGGUGGCUCUGAUAGCAGAGCUAAUGGGAGCGAAUGGGAUGCAACGAACUGUUCUAAUGACACCAGCCAGGGAAGAGACAACAGAGAUGAUGCAACAAGACUCAGAUGCUCUUGCUGACAUUACCCCAUGUGCCCGGGCUUUUCACAGCUCGACAUGGGAAGCAGGCUGGAGGGCUUCGUGGCAGCAGGACCUGCCAGACCAUGCCGGGUGCUGGGAGGAAGGAGCUCUAAGAGGGACUGUCCCCCUCUGGUCCCCACUUUGCUUUACUACUUCUGCAUUUCAGCCUGUCAGCUUGAAGUGGGCAUUGGGAGACUCUGUCGUUGCAAAUCCCAGUCACACUUGGAGGAGGACGAUGAACACUUUUUUCCAAAUGUUGAACCUGUCUCUCUCUACUGUAGCUCUUUGCAGUAAUUAAAUUAUGUAAUGCAAAGCUUAAAGCCACUGAAAACAUAAUUACAAAAUGUAUAAUUAGUUCAUUAUAAAGGAUCAGCUGGCCUACC
Molecule: long non-coding RNA, 1425 nt
Organism: Oxyura jamaicensis (ruddy duck)
Lineage: Eukaryota; Metazoa; Chordata; Aves; Anseriformes; Anatidae
Exons: 4
Source: RefSeq, a predicted model, not a curated record